Molecule: transfer RNA, 67 nt
Filed under: Marmota monax (woodchuck)
Lineage: Eukaryota; Metazoa; Chordata; Mammalia; Rodentia; Sciuridae
Description: tRNA.Ala
Source: RNAcentral
GGUUGUAGCUCACUGGUAGAAUGCUUGCCUCGCAUGCAUGAAGCCCUGGGUUUGAUCCUCAGCACCA